This 269-nucleotide small nuclear RNA is filed under the name Myotis brandtii (Brandt's bat). RNAcentral describes it as "7SK RNA". It matches the Rfam family "7SK RNA". Rfam says of the family: 7SK was discovered as an abundant small nuclear RNA in the mid-70s but a possible function has only recently been suggested. Two independent studies have found that 7SK RNA binds the CDK9/cyclin T complex (known as elongation factor P-TEFb). The record is from Rfam by way of RNAcentral. Lineage: Eukaryota; Metazoa; Chordata; Mammalia; Chiroptera; Vespertilionidae.
GGAUGCGAGGGCGAUCUGGCUGCAACAUCUGCCACCCCAACGAUCACCAGGGUUGAUUUGGCUGAUCUGGCUGGCUAGGCGGGUAUACACCUCCUUCCUCAUCAAUCCAUGUGCCCAGUACCAUUGUCUAGACUAUUGUAGCUUUAGAGUAAGUCUUGAAAUCAGGAAGUGUGGAUCCUCUAACUUUGUUCCUCCUCAAGGUUGUUUUGGAUAUUCUGGGUCCCCUGCAUUUCCAUAUGAAUUUUAGGAUCAGUUUGUCAAUUUCUUUU